AGUACUGCUUGGCAACACAUUACUGCUCCAGAGCGAGGAAGAAAGUCUACGCCAUCUUUGGCUGUCAAACGAUACACCGGUCUUGCAGUGAUAAUGUGACUUUAAGCCCACCUGAUGUCUACCUUUCCUCACCCGAUAAGUCGCCAAGAAGUCGGACUUACUUUCGGUGCACCCCAAUUUGCAACAAUAUUUCCGUAGGGAAUGAAAUUAAUACCUAACUGAUCUUAACGUUCACUUUCCGAUGAGAACCAUCAACGACCGGUGGCUAGCUGACUACAUGCUACUUUCCCAGCACGGAGGUCUCCCAGUCCAGACUCAUCAUGUGGUGAUGGAUUUCAGCCAGGACUGGGACAGUCAGAGUGCAAUGGGUUUGGAGAGUAAACUCGUAAGUGGCCAGCACACUCUUGAAAUGGAAGAGGACAGAGGACAACAGAUGGAGAGAAUUUAGAAGAAAAGAGACGUCAGAGAUGCAAAGAAAGGAAGUAAACUAGAUGGAGAAGUUCAUGAGGAAGAAUCACGGGGCAGAAAAUUACAGAAGCUAACUACAGAGAGAAGAUGUCAAAUGAUGGCAAAAUGGAAAGUUGUGGAUGUUUUCAGGGAUCAUCUGUAAUCACUACUAUCAGCUCAGACACUUGCAGUCAAUACCUGGAGCUUCAGAAAAGUCAGGCAAGUUCAACACCUCAUAAAAAAUGUUUUCAAACAAAAGGUGAUCAGAUUUUUGGCAAAACUCCAUAUGUUCUGCGGGAAAAUUUUCAAAGGUAAUCAUACGUAAAUAAUCUAAUAUUUGCAGAUGAAAAAAGGUUGUUGGACAAGUAGAAUAUCUUAUUAAAGAUCAGAUUGCUCAGUCUUAAGUCCUGUGGUUCCUGUGAUGGGAAGAAGUGACUCUCCUGCCAUCUAGUGGUGACAGACAGGUGACGUUAUGUCUCCUGACUCAGACCUGGAAUUUUCUGGCUCCACGUGUGGGAGAUGUCUGGGCAUGUGCAGCUAUGCUGACCUAUUGUAAGUGAUCAAACUAUUGUUGUUAAUGUUUAUUUCUGUUUAGUGCACACAGGUUUGUGCGACUGCACACACACAGACCCACUCAAAUCCCCUCAGGGACAGGUGCAGUCAGAAGACAUGCAAGUUUGUCCAGAAAACUGUUGGAAAACUGUGUGAGUGAAUAUAUUUAUGUUUGUGUGUUUCUGUCUCCGUGAGAACCAGUUUUUACCGUGGGAUCUACAGAGUGAUGACAGAGUGCUGUAAUCCAUGUAGGCCUCCAGGUGUUCCAGGGUUUGGUUUUGAAAUUAGGUUCGGUCAAGAUUACUGUUUGAUAAAAAAGGUUUGAUAAAAAAGGUUAAAGGUCAGGGUUGGGUUAGAGACCAGUGAAAAUUUGUUUGUGCACAUCAUUUACUGAAAUGAUAAAAGCCUUAAAGUAUCACCUAAUCUUGGAGCAGCAUCUUGUUGAGGGACCCGAACUUUAAAGGGGCUAUUCGUUUUCUCUGCCUCUGAAUGUGGGUUUGCACUGGGAGCGGGUGGUGGUGAUGGUAACUUGUCAAGAGUUUCCAAGAGUCUAAAAUUAUAGAAGAAUGACUCUUUUUCUUUGUCCUGUUUCAGUUGACAAACAACAAAUGCGUGCAUUACUGCCAUCGUCUGUAUGUGGACAGUCUCAACAUGUUUGGCUGAAACAGUCUGAUGAUCUAAUAUUCAGUGUGCCUUUUGGGUUUCACCCCUCCUCAAUGAGCUACUGCUAGAGUACAAAGCAAAGUGAAUUGGUUUAGAAUACAGUAAAUUUUUGCAGUUGCAACUUUGUGUUACAUUUAUAGAUCCAAGCAAAUACUUUUUAUAUCAUAUUUAUAUUGGUUUUGCUUUGGAACCAGAGAAGUUUUUCAGAGCAUCCAGUUUAAUGCAGCUUGAUCUGUGACCUCUUUUUCUGCAGCUUCUGGUUUAUGUGGCGUUACCAGUGCAAAUAUUACACAUGUUGAAGUACGAUACACCCUGAUGUGGUGUUCCUUGUGGUGUUUGAUUAAUUACUCAUGUUCAUGUGAAUCAUUGCCUACCAGCACUAUUUAUGGUUUUGUUCUGCAAACUUGAGUGAACCUUGAGUAUAUAUUUGAACACCCAGUUCCAAUAAGAUAUGAGUUAUCAUAGACAUAGACGGCAUAGACAUUUAUGAUCCAGAGAUAAAGCCAACAUUUAUACUCUAAUCUGUGAAUAUUGUGAGUCUGCAAAUUUAGUUGUACAUUGAUUAUUGUUUUCUUGAUUGUUUUUUCUUGAUGUCUUUAUAGACCAGCACUGUGUUGAUCUGUUACAGUUUUUAAAUGUACACUUCAUUCUUUAUGGUCAGAGUGGAGUCACUACACUGAUCUGUAUCACACUUGCCGAACUAAAAAGAAACCAGGGACUGUAGAUGAAUUCCAUGUCUUAAAUCAGUUUAUGAAAUUAUACCAUAAAUGUAUUAAACACAAUCCCUUUUGUAUGGCAGUUUCAUCAUGCCCUUUUACAAAAUAAAAAUAUUCACCAUACAGUACAUGAUUGCAUCAGCACCAUUAAUGCCUAAACAGUGGCUUUAAAUGAAAUACCAUUAGAGCACCAAACCUGUAAUUGUCUCUUAAAGACAGAUGCACAACUACUAAAAGCAAACUGACAGAUACACAGGAACAAGCAUAUAAUAGAUGGAAUUAUAAAAGUUCUAGAAAUACAUUUUUUAAAAUCGAAAGUUGUCUACAAAAUUGUGGG
Molecule: long non-coding RNA, 2715 nt
Organism: Lates calcarifer (barramundi perch)
Lineage: Eukaryota; Metazoa; Chordata; Actinopteri; Centropomidae
Exons: 4
Source: RefSeq, a predicted model, not a curated record